GAUUUGCCCGCUCUUUGCUGUUUUUCUCAUAUCCAAGGACAGGCUCGUUCUCCAAUGGAAAUUCGGGGGGACAUAUCACUGGCACGACACUCGACAAUGACCGUAUUCCAGUUCUAAGAAGAAAUAGUGAAAUAAGUGCACGCUUGGACUUUGAUACAUGGAGUUUCAAGAUAGGGACGAAUUUAUCUGCUAACUAAUACAGGCUUAUCAAUCUGCUUCGACUGUUCAUCAUUAGCAUUUCUCACUCUGGAGACCAUAGACGAUUGCUUGAGCUACUGCCACUCUCUCAAUAAAUUUCGAAGACAUGUAAUUGGAUGAAACAGAUGCAGCAAGUGUAGGUUGCAGCAUUUGAUGCAUCAGUGUGCAUCUUGGUGGCUGGUACGUGGUAUUUUAAAACGCUUCAGCAUAUGUGUGUCAGCAGAUCCAGUGUACCAAGCUGUAUAAUGUAUUUACAAGAGACAUUGCAUAACUACUCUUUUUAACACCUGAGGAUCAACUUAUCAUGGUGAUGAAAAAUCUUCGUUUAUGAUAGCCAAAGUAUGAUAUGGUUAAUAAAAUUUUAAGGAAUAAAUAAAGUACAACAAAAAAAGGUGCUGUACUUUCUCAAAGUUAUCAGUGUAGUGAAAUAGCAUGGGGAUUAGAUGAAUAUGUAUAAUCGGGCUACAUCUAUUACACUGCAAGCCAAUUAUGCACGCUGCAUGCAUAUAUAUGUAUAUAGUAGGCAUGUACUUGCGAAUGUAUAAGCAAGCUAUGGGUAAAUCGAAUGCAAGUACCAAAGCAGGUAUAUAGGUGUGACGGAAUUGAAACAGUCGAAUAUGCCAGGUAUGAGAAUAGUGGAAUAUACCGACGGCGAGCCUGAAUCAAUGAGAAUUCAUAAACGCGCUGUCGAUAUUUCAAAUUUUUCUUUCUUUUUCUAUUUUUUGUAAUAGUUCAGACUCACUUUUGUCCGCCGGAGAUGACAGCUUGUCGACAUACGCUUAGCAUUGUUACGUGUUAUGCCUUUUACCCCACCCAAGGAUGUAGGAUUUUCUGCGACUGGUGGCACGAGUGUGGCGUUAGGAUUAUAAUAUUUGUUACGUUCGUCCUGAUGUCGCGGAACUGUUGAGUCGGCUCUAGACCAUCAAA
This is a long non-coding RNA of Neodiprion fabricii, 1125 nucleotides long. RefSeq lists it as uncharacterized. The record is from RefSeq and is a predicted model, not a curated record. Lineage: Eukaryota; Metazoa; Arthropoda; Insecta; Hymenoptera; Diprionidae. The transcript has 3 exons.